This is a non-coding RNA of Triticum aestivum (bread wheat), 135 nucleotides long. The record is from Rfam. Lineage: Eukaryota; Viridiplantae; Streptophyta; Magnoliopsida; Poales; Poaceae.
CACGUACUCCCUCCAUCCGAAAAUACUUUCAUUAAAAUGAAUAAAAAAAAGAUGUAUCUAAAACUAAAAUGCAUCUACACACAUUUCCUUUUAUUAAUUUUGAUGACAAGUAUUUCCGGACGGAGGAAGUAGCAU